RNAcentral lists this long non-coding RNA (396 nucleotides) under Nicotiana benthamiana. Its description in RNAcentral is "long non-coding RNA (NBEN_LNC025075)". Lineage: Eukaryota; Viridiplantae; Streptophyta; Magnoliopsida; Solanales; Solanaceae. The record is from RNAcentral.
GUUACAGGCUUUAUGAUUAUACUUCCAAGAAGUAUUUAAUCUCCAGGGAUGUCCAAUUUCAUGAAUCAGUUUUUCCUUUCAAAAAUGCCUCUCUCUCUCUUCCUCCAUCUACUCCUACUUUUCCUUUCAUUCAUUCUGGAGAACAUGAUGAUAAUUCUAAUAAUUCUGAUUCUCCUCUUCCUCCCUCUCCUUCUGAUUCUGAUUCACCUGUCCAGCUACCUUCUUCUGCUCCACUCAGUCCUUCUGUCUCCCUUCCUGUCUUGGAUACUACUUCUGUCCCAGCUCCUAGAAAAUCUACCAGACUUCAUAAUCCCCCUUCCUACCUUAAGGAUUAUGUGUGCCAACUCCCUGCCUUCUCUGGCUCUUCUUCCUCCUCUUUGGAAGUUGAACCUCAAU